RNAcentral lists this transfer RNA (18 nucleotides) under Hattorianthus erimonus. RNAcentral's name for it is "partial tRNA-Phe". The record is from RNAcentral. Lineage: Eukaryota; Viridiplantae; Streptophyta; Jungermanniopsida; Pallaviciniales; Moerckiaceae.
GCCGGGAUAGCUCAGUGA